AGUGCACUUUCCAUUGGAGACCAGCCCCUUUGACUGCGGGGUAGGAGAGGCCCGUGACCGUCGCCUGACCCCCGCUGCCAGCACAAGCCCAAGGGGCAGCUCGCCUGCUGUCCACGGCGGGUCCCCUUCCUCUGCUGCCUCCCGCCACCAUUUCGGGCCUGCUGCCUUGCCACGCGCCGUGCGUCUCUUGACUGCGCCAGGCCUGGCCAUGCUGGGCUCGCUGUCCCUGCUGGUUGUCUUUCCGGCCUUCCAGAACUGCCCAAGGCCUGGCCUCUCCCCUCCCACUCACCUGCGGUCCCGUCUGCAUUUCUCCAGUGGUGGCAGGAGGAGUGGGGACAGCUGCUCCUGCUUCAAAAUCUGCUCAGCCAUCCUAAGCUACAUGGUGGCGGGCAAAACUGUGCAACAAGGAAGGGACUUCCUCAGGAGGAAAUGUGCUCCCUGUCAGCAGGAGCCAAGUGGAGGCUGGUGGCCUUGGAACCCCACCCCACCAGCCCCUAGCGCCCGAAGCCGUAAGAGCUGCUGCCCACUCCGUGAGAGGCCCAGGGACUUGGGAGGAGACCUAGGUAGAUCACAGCAGCAGCCCCAGCCUCCCUGUCUGCAAUCACAGGAGCCAGUGCACUGAGGAGGUGCUCAGGUGCCUCCUCCAUCUCACUCUGUCCCUGCAUCUAUAGGGACAUGAAACAGACCACCUGCGUGGUGCCAGCAGUGUGCACUCACCUGUAACCACUGAGCUGGGUCUGGGGCCUUAGGGCCAUAGCAAGAAGAGGUUAAAUGGAUGGGUUGGGGAUGGAUGGAUGGAUGGAUGGAUGGAUGGAUGGAUGGGAAGCUGGGGGAACAGAGAGAGAAAGUGAAGAUUUAUUCACAGUUGACUACAUCCCUGGGCCUGCCCUCAAGGAGCCACAGUCCAGGAGGAGAGGUAAAUCACUGAAGAGCCAGUGUGCUGCAAGACAGGGCUCCUGGGAGCUCACCCCUAGCUGGGAGGUUGAGGAAGGGAGGCUUCUUGGAGCAGGUGAUGACUGAGGAUGGAACCUGAAAAGACGAGGAUAAGUCAACUAGGCAAAGAAAUUGAGACAGAAGGUGGGCAAGGAGCUGGCAUGGGAGUGGGCCUGGGGCUGGGGAGGAGAAGUGAAUGGUGUGGGAUGGGGUGAAGAGGCCACAGCAAUGUGCCAGAGCAGGGUGGGGUCAGGGAAGGUGGGAGAGGUGGGCAGGGGAGGAUCCAUGUGGGCUGCUGAGGGUAGUCAGGGGGGCUUCUGAGGGCCUAGGAUGCCCUGAUGAGGAGGUAGGUAUAUGAACUAGAUCCCCAGGGCAGUGAGGUGGUCACUGAAGGAUUUUCAAGUGGUCAGAUUUGUGUUCCAGAAAGAUCACAUGGGCUAGGUCUGUGCCAAUCUGGCUUAUUACUGUUUUCCCAGCACCCAGCUUGUGCCUGGAAUAUAGUAGGUGCUCAAUAAAUGUUUUGAAUCAAUCCACGA
RNAcentral lists this long non-coding RNA (1469 nucleotides) under Canis lupus familiaris (dog). RNAcentral's name for it is "lncRNA (ENSCAFG00845005240.1)". Lineage: Eukaryota; Metazoa; Chordata; Mammalia; Carnivora; Canidae. The record is from RNAcentral.